UUCACUCUUGUUUUGACACAAGGUGAUACUGGAUGUUCUAAAUUGUUGGAAUCUGAGUUGCCAAAGCAAGAGGAACCUGCUCAAUAAUUAUUGGUAUCUAGCAACUAGAAAAAGAAAGAAACAAACUAAUUAACACUUACUGAGUGAACCUUAAAUUUCAUAGUAAUAGACGCUUGACAUUGCAAUGAUGGUUUGCAAACAUCUUGAAACAUAGCAAAGGUAUCUUACACAACAUUCAUUGGGGUGGGGUCUAGCUCAAGUGAUUGGUGCGCAGUGUGUGAGUGGUUUAAUCCCUAGGUUAAAGAGUUUGAUUCCUACUGAUAAAAAAAAUCUAACCAACAUUCAAUCAUCUAUUGAAAGGCCAACACAACAAAAGUAAAGAGUUAAAUUGUGAAUUGAUGUUACAAAACAUAUGGAUGCCAGAGUAGAUG
RNAcentral lists this long non-coding RNA (431 nucleotides) under Trifolium pratense (red clover). Its description in RNAcentral is "long non-coding RNA (TPRA_LNC011156)". Lineage: Eukaryota; Viridiplantae; Streptophyta; Magnoliopsida; Fabales; Fabaceae. The record is from RNAcentral.